This 625-nucleotide ribosomal RNA is filed under the name uncultured bacterium. Its description in RNAcentral is "bacterial SSU rRNA". The stretch from base 1 to 542 matches the Rfam family "Bacterial small subunit ribosomal RNA", at positions 338 to 873 of the family's 1533-position model. The record is from RNAcentral.
CCUACGGGAGGCAGCAGUGGGGAAUUUUGGACAAUGGACGCAAGUCUGAUCCAGCCAUGCCGCGUGCGGGAAGAAGGCCUUCGGGUUGUAAACCGCUUUUGUCAGGGAAGAAAAGGGCGUUUCUAAUAAAGAUGCCUCAUGACGGUACCUGAAGAAUAAGCACCGGCUAACUACGUGCCAGCAGCCGCGGUAAUACGUAGGGUGCAAGCGUUAAUCGGAAUUACUGGGCGUAAAGCGUGCGCAGGCGGUUAUGCAAGACAGAUGUGAAAUCCCCGGGCUCAACCUGGGAACUGCAUUUGUGACUGCAUAGCUAGAGUACGGUAGAGGGGGAUGGAAUUCCGCGUGUAGCAGUGAAAUGCGUAGAUAUGCGGAGGAACACCGAUGGCGAAGGCAAUCCCCUGGACCUGUACUGACGCUCAUGCACGAAAGCGUGGGGAGCAAACAGGAUUAGAUACCCUGGUAGUCCACGCCCUAAACGAUGUCAACUGGUUGUUGGGAGGGUUUCUUCUCAGUAACGAAGCUAACGCGUGAAGUUGACCGCCUGGGGNGGUAACGGUCGCGAGUUAGUAACGUUACGAAGAAGUUAGAGGCGNGAGAGNGCGACGGACGACGACGAGGGAGGAGG